CGCGGGGUAGAGCAGAGGUCAGCUCGUCACUUUGACUUGGUGAAGGUCGUGGUUUCGAUUACCACCCCCGCAA
RNAcentral lists this transfer RNA (73 nucleotides) under Caudoviricetes sp. RNAcentral describes it as "tRNA-Val". Lineage: Duplodnaviria; Heunggongvirae; Uroviricota; Caudoviricetes. The record is from RNAcentral.